GCUGUACUGAUCGUGCAAAUUCUAACAAACCUAUGUAAGGAGCUCUUUGUGUUUAAUAAAGUAUCAUAGGGAAUUUAUGCAGUAUCUUUCAUAUUCAGUAUAUGCUGUCUGUUUUGGAAAAAUUUCCCCCCCCCCUUUUUUUCUCCUUAGUGGGAAAUUUACAUGAAUAUUGACUGGAAUCAUAUUAAAUAUGAGCUGAGUUAGUACUUCAUGAUAGGAUGAGCUGUCUGCUAAUUUCCAUGUGCCAAAGUAUUUUUGUGUUCUCUCAUUCCCUUUUAUAGUUGUUAUAUCUAUGACUAAAUUAUCAGAUAUUAAAAAACUGUCCAGCUUUGUAUUCAUGGAUGAAAAUAAUACUUGUAUCAAAUAAAAAUCACUGUACCUUAACAGGCAAGAGAGGUGACCCAACUCUUCUGCUUGGUAUACGUGGUCAAAAAGGGCCUCCUGGAGACCCAGGAUUAACAGGAUUCUGUGGGUUACCUGGAGAGAAGGGUUCAGCAGGUAUCCAAGGACAACCUGGAAGACUAGGAUCCAAGGGCGAGUCUGGAUACCCAGGAAUACCUGGAUUUCCAGGAGCUCCAGGUCCUCCAGGAUUGCCAGGAGAACCUGGAGAAAAAGGGAAACAAGGACUUUUGGGACCUCCAGGAUUGCAAGGAUUAGCUGGAUCGCAGGGCAGGAAAGGUAAACAGCAUACGGUGUAGUUCUACUGGUAAUGUGACAUCACCAUAUAUUAAUACCAUAUAAAAAAUAACAAUACCUCACAAAAUUGGACUAUGAUCCAGAAUGAGUCAAGAAGAAGAAAGAAACAGAUUCUGGCUCUCC
Molecule: long non-coding RNA, 819 nt
Filed under: Anas platyrhynchos (mallard)
Lineage: Eukaryota; Metazoa; Chordata; Aves; Anseriformes; Anatidae
Description: lncRNA (ENSAPLG00020013262.1)
Source: RNAcentral